UAACAUACGAUUUCGAAAUACCGCUGGA
Molecule: small RNA, 28 nt
Filed under: Bombyx mori (domestic silkworm)
Lineage: Eukaryota; Metazoa; Arthropoda; Insecta; Lepidoptera; Bombycidae
Description: ovarian small RNA-18638
Source: RNAcentral